RNAcentral lists this ribosomal RNA (140 nucleotides) under uncultured Corynebacterium sp. Its description in RNAcentral is "partial 16S ribosomal RNA". It matches the Rfam family "Bacterial small subunit ribosomal RNA", at positions 373 to 525 of the family's 1533-position model. The record is from RNAcentral. Lineage: Bacteria; Bacillati; Actinomycetota; Actinomycetes; Mycobacteriales; Corynebacteriaceae.
GGGCGCAAGCCUGAUGCAGCGACGCCGCGUGGGGGAUGACGGCCUUCGGGUUGUAAACCUCUUUCGACAGGGACGAAGCUUUUGUGACGGUACCUGUAUAAGAAGCACCGGCUAACUACGUGCCAGCAGCCGCGGUAAUA